This 329-nucleotide unclassified non-coding RNA is filed under the name soil metagenome. RNAcentral describes it as "partial contains 5.8S ribosomal RNA, internal transcribed spacer 2, and large subunit ribosomal RNA". The stretch from base 1 to 120 matches the Rfam family "5.8S ribosomal RNA", at positions 35 to 154 of the family's 154-position model. The record is from RNAcentral.
GAUGAAGAACGUAGUGAAAUGAGAUAAGUAAUGUGAAUUGCAGAAUUCAGUGAAUCAUCGAAUCUUUGAACGCACAUUGCGCCCCUUGGUAUUCCGAGGGGCAUGCCUGUUCGAGCGUCAUUAUAACCCCUCAAGCUCAGCUUGGUGUUGGGGCCUGCUGCACUGGCAGCCCUUAAAAUCAGUGGCGGCGCCAUCUGGCUCUAAGCGUAGUAAUUCUUCUCGCUAUGGAGUCCUGGUGGAUGCUUGCCAUCAACCCCCAAUUUUUCUAUGGUUGACCUCGGAUCAGGUAGGGAUACCCGCUGAACUUAAGCAUAUCAAUAAGCGGAGGA